RNAcentral lists this ribosomal RNA (276 nucleotides) under Ixodes uriae (common seabird tick). RNAcentral's name for it is "partial large subunit ribosomal RNA". The record is from RNAcentral. Lineage: Eukaryota; Metazoa; Arthropoda; Arachnida; Ixodida; Ixodidae.
CAAUUUUACUCUGUCUUUAUUAUAAAAAUAGAAUUUAACUUUUUAUGUGCAGAGGCGAAAAUUAUUUUAAGGGACAAGAAGACCCUAUGAAUUUUAUUUUUUUAAUAAAAAGUUCUUUUUAUUAAAAGAUUAGUUGGGGCGAUUAAUAAAGAGUAUAGAUCUUUAUGUUUUAAUUAAAUUGGAUCCAAUAUUAUUGAUUUAAUGAAUUAAAUACUCUAGGGAUAACAGCGUUAUAAUUUUGGAUAGCUCAUAUAGAUAAAAUUGAUUGCGACCUCG